UGAACACGACCCAGAGUAAUUUAUUGUCUGUUGGAUAAUGAAUUUAUUUAUUACUUAGGAAGCCGGUUUUUUCGUAUACCGAUAAUAAAAUUUAUGUAAUGCAAGAGAAGAAUUCAGGAGAUUCAAAAUUAGUAUAAAUAGCAGACGCUCGACGGAUAACGCACAAUGUAUUUAUUCGUCAAAAAGGUAACGUAUCCUAGAAAGAUUUUAAAAAAAAGUUAGAAAGUGACGUAUUAUUUCAAUCGUUGUAACUGUAAAAAGUUACUAUUAUUAGCAACGAAUUCUUAAUAAAGUUGCUUUUUUCUCUUUGGUAAUUGUAGCGAUAACGUAGUUUGGAAAUUAGUAAGGUCCUGACGCAGCACAAUGGCGGCAUUCCUUCAUGUUUUCUUAAUGAUCGUUCUGAUAACCAUCAAUGCAAUUAUGCCAGGGACAGCGAUAUUUUCGGACAGCUUUGAGGAACCACUAACGUUCAGCAACUCCUACUUUCCUAUAUCUUACACUAAUUGUCAAUGUCCACCUCCGAUAUAUAUAUAUGUAUCAUGUCCAACUACACCAACUCGAGUGUCACCUGUAGCAGUGCCUACACCAGCUAUUAUAAAUGUUCGUACAAAAAGUAAUGAGGAAUGUCCAGAUCGACAAAGGAAAGAUCCACACGGAAUAUGUCGCGUUGACCAAGGACGUUAAAAUCACAGAAUAUGUGAUUUGCAUGUAAGCAGGUCCAAAAGUACCAAUAACUUUCAUGAUACUAUCACUCUUUUUCAAAUGAACUACUGCAGAGAUAAUGAGAUAACUUAAGAAAUAAUAUGUAGUAACUGUCACAGAUGUAUGGAUAAAUAAGCAUAAUUAAUGUUGAUUUUUGUGUAAAUCCUUUGUAUUAUCUUAGAAUAACUAAACCACGACUUUAACACAGUGCAAUAAAGGCACUCUCCAUAGUUUCUUAAUAAUUAUGUCAAUAACAAUCAUUGUGCUCAAUACCAAUGGAAAUAUUCCCAAGCGUUUACCGUCAGCUGUACAAACUACGCCGAAUUUUAUUAAAAAUAGUAUUAAUAAUAUUAUUAUUAGUCAUUUAAUAUAAUUAAUAUUAUAUUAUAUUAUAUUAUAUUAUAUCAUAUUAUAUCAUCAUAUAAUAUUACAUUAUAUCACAAAUAAAGAAAAGUAUUGGCGCGUGUGAAUUUUCAAGUGGCAUAAUGAAAGCAUUCCAUUGUGUCUUCUUAAUAUUUGCGCUAACAGUAAUGAAUAUAUUCAUACUGGCAACAUCUGAACGCAUCCAAAUAGAGAUAACUAUAUCAUUUACAUCUGACUCCAAUGAAACAUAUUGAAUAAAUGCAAAUGCUGGUAUAAAUCAUAUUCAUAUCAGCAUCUACAUUUUGCGAAUAUGUUUCAUUGGAGUCAGAUGUAAACGAUGUAGUUAUCUCUAUUUGGAUGCGUUCAGAUGUUGUCAGUGUGAACAUAUUUAUUACUAUAAGCGCAUUAGAUGGUACUCACGUCAUAAACACACUUCUUAAGCACAAUAUUAAUUGCCCGAAAAACCAAUGAAAAGAUCAAGGUAAUAUGUGCUAAAAAGAUUCAAACAAAGUCGAAAAGUGAGACAUUAGUUACGUUAUUAUCACAUUACGCGAUAAUCUUUUUUGUAAUAACUUACUAAGAGAAAUAUUUUUUCCCUCUUGAGUUAGUAAUUGUAAAGGUAAUUAUGUUUCUAUGGAUAACAAAAACGAAUGUAAUUGUUACUUUUGUCAUUACUAUACGUAUGUAAAAUAUAUAUGCAUAGGUUCAGCGAUAGUAAAUC
This is a long non-coding RNA of Odontomachus brunneus, 1786 nucleotides long. RefSeq lists it as uncharacterized. The transcript has 3 exons. The record is from RefSeq and is a predicted model, not a curated record. NCBI's taxonomy places the organism in Eukaryota, Metazoa, Arthropoda, Insecta, Hymenoptera, Formicidae.